UACGGGGGGGGCAAGCGUUGUUCGGAAUUACUGGGCGUAAAGGGCUCGUAGGUGGCCAACUAAGUCAGACGUGAAAUCCCUCGGCUUAACCGGGGAACUGCGUCGGAUACUGGAUGGCUUGAGUUCGGGAGAGGGAUGCGGAAUUCCAGGUGUAGCGGUGAAAUGCGUAGAUAUCUGGAGGAACACCGGUGGCGAAGGCGGCAUCCUGGACCGACACUGACACUGAGGAGCGAAAGCCAGGGGAGCAAACGGG
RNAcentral lists this ribosomal RNA (253 nucleotides) under uncultured bacterium. RNAcentral's name for it is "partial 16S ribosomal RNA". It matches the Rfam family "Bacterial small subunit ribosomal RNA", at positions 524 to 776 of the family's 1533-position model. The record is from RNAcentral.